GCGUGGCGUGUGGCGAAACCUCUUCGCCCGCAGCCCUUGACGCCGUGCCUUAUUGCCCUUGACGCCGAACCUUAUUGGCACUAUGGCGAAGGGCGUGGGUGGGUGAAACCUGUUCGCCCGCAGCCCUUGGCGCCAUACCUUAUUGGCACUAUAUCGAAGGGCGUGGGUGGGCGAAACCUGUUCGCCCGCAGCCCUUCAAGCCGUACCUUAUUGGUACUAUGGCGAAGGGCGUGGGUGGGCGAAACCUGUUUGCCCGCAGCCCUUGACACCGUACCUUAUUGGCACUAUGGUGAAGGGUGUGGGUGGGCGAAACCUGUUCGCCCGCAGCCCUUUACGCCGUACCUUUUUGGUACUGUGGUGAAGGGCGUGGGUGUGGCGAAACCUCUUCGCCUGCAGCCCUUGACGCCGUAUCUUAUUGGUACUUUGGCGAAGGGCUUGGCGUGUGGCGAAAAGGGUCCCAUUUCGCCCUUUCGGUAUGGGUAUCCCCACGGACGGCGCCAGCUGUUGUCGAAUGGAAAACUAUGCCACGUCGAAAGGCGUGGUUCUCUUAACAGUAGUUGGAAUGUAAAAGCAAUUGUAUGCCUAUCGUAAAAUAAUUUAG
RNAcentral lists this long non-coding RNA (601 nucleotides) under Oryza sativa aus subgroup. Its description in RNAcentral is "lncRNA OsNaBo_03g0022590". The record is from RNAcentral. Lineage: Eukaryota; Viridiplantae; Streptophyta; Magnoliopsida; Poales; Poaceae.